Molecule: long non-coding RNA, 3517 nt
Organism: Dama dama (fallow deer)
Lineage: Eukaryota; Metazoa; Chordata; Mammalia; Artiodactyla; Cervidae
Exons: 2
Source: RefSeq, a predicted model, not a curated record
UCUUUGUUAAUAGGGGAGGGAUUGGAAAAUUGUGGCCAUUUUUGUAAAAAACAUUCGAGAUACCAAGGGAACGUUUCAUGCAAAGAUGAGCACAAUAAAGGACAGAAAUGGUAUGGACCAAAAAGAAGCAGGAGGUAUUAAGAAGAGGUGGCAAGAAUACACAUAUACAAAAAAGAUCUUCAUGACCCAGAUAACCACGAUGGUGUGAUCACUCACCUAGAGCCAGACAUCCUAGAGUCUGAAGUCAAGUGGGCCUUAGGAAGAAUCAUUUCGAACAAGGAUAGUGGAGGUGAUGGAAUUCCAGCUGAACUAUUUCAAAUCCUAAAAGAUGAUACUGUUAAAGUGCUAAACUCAAUAUGCAAGCAAAUUUGGGAAACUCAGCAGAGACCACGGGACUGGAAAAGGUCAGUUUUCAUUCCAAUCCCAAAGAAAGGCAAUGCCAAAGAAUGUUCAAACUACUGCACAAUUGCACUCAUCUCAAAUGCUAGCAAAGUAAUGCUAAAAAUUCUCCAAGCGAGGCUUCAACAGUACGUGAACUGAGAAUUUCCAAAUGUUCAAGAUGGAUUUAGAAAAGGCAGAGGAACCAAAGAUCAAAUUGCUAACAUCCACUGGAUCAUAGAAAAAGCAAUAGAAUUCCAAAAAAACAUCUACUUUUGCUUCAUUGACUAUGCUAAAGUCUUUGACUGUGUGAAUCAUAACAAACUGUGGAAAAUUCUUAGAGAUGCAAAUACCAGAUCACCUGACCUGCCUCCUGAGAAACCUGUAUGCAGGUCAAGAAGCAACAGUUAGAACCGCACAUGGAACAACAGACUAGUUCAAAAUUGGGAAAGGAGUACAUCAAGGUUGUAUAUUGUCAUCUUGCUUAUUUAACUUAUAUGCAUUAAAAUUAUGCAAAAUGCCAAGCUGGAUGAAGCCCAAGCUGGAAUGAAGAUUGCCAGGAGAAAUAUCAAUAACCUCAGAUAUGCAGAUGACAACACCCUUAUAGCAGAAAGUGAAGAGUAACUGAAGAGCCUCUUGAUGAAAGUGAAAGACGAGAGUGAAAAAGCUGGCUUAAAACUCAACAUUCAAAAAAACUAAGAUCAUGGCAUCUGGUCCUAUCACUCCAUGGCAAAUAGAUGGGGAAAUAAUGGAAACAGUGACAAACUUUAUUUUCUUGGGCUCCAAUAUCACUGCAGAUGGUAACUGCAGCCAUGAAAUUAAAAGAAGCUUGCUCCUUGGAAGAAAAGCUGUGACCAACCUAGGCAGCAUAUUAAAAAGCAGAGACAUUACUUUGCCAACAAAGGUCUGUCUAGUCAAAGCUACGGUUUUUCCAGUAGUCAUGAUGUGAGAGUUUGACCAUAAAGAAAGCUGAGUGUUGAAGAAUCAAUGCUUUUGAACUGUGGUGUUGGAGAAGAUUCUUGAGAGUCCCUUGGACUGCAAGGAGAUCCAAUCAGUUCAUCCUAAAGAAAAUCAGUCCUGAAUAUUCAUUGGAAGGACUGAUGCUGAAGCUGAAACUCCAAUACUUUGGCCACUUGAUGGAAGAACUGACUCAUUGGAAAAGACUGAUACUGGGAAACAUUGAAGGCAGGAGGAGAAGGGGACAACAGAGGAUGAGAUGGUUGGAUGGCAUCACCGACUUGAUGGAUAUGAGUUUGAGCAAGCUCUGGGAGUUGGUGAUGGACAGAAAGCCUGGUGUGCUGCAGUCCCUGGGGUUGCAAAGAGUUGGACACAACUGAGCAACUGAACUGAACUGACAGCCACAGGGGUAAGAACUGAGUGUGAGUGGGAAGAGCGAGUUGGUGAUCAUGAACAACCGGAAGCAGCAGACAUUUUUUUCACAGCAAGCUACCAACCAUCCCACCAAACCGCUGACGUCACUUGAGUGACAGAAGUGAAAGUACAGAUAGCUAAACUGCAAACUGUAAGAGGAAUUAGGUUGGACGCUUAAAGCCUAAUUAAAAGUCAAGUAACAAAUUACCCUUCAAUACACACAAAGAAGUCUAUUUUGAAGAACGACCCAUGGCCACCAUCUUUGGGAGAGAGCAGCCCUACUUACUUUACUGCCAGUGAGCUGACUGAGAUGUGGUUUUAGUUCAUCACCAAUUACUGCAUGAACAGCCACCAGGCAGAAGACACAAGCUUUCCGAACACUGCUCUCCGAAUUAUCGUAACCCUGGGAAGAAAUCCUUGUUAGUACUCCUGCGGGAUUUGAGAAAAGCACCAUUGCACAGAAACAGAAGUGUAACUCAGAGAGGAGAUGUCACGUGUGCUGACGAGAGAGAGUUUUACUGACUGGGUAAAGUUAAUAUCUCACCUUUUCAGGCAGAGACGUCCCUUUCUCUCCUCCCUUUCCCCUUGAGCAGCCCCAUUCCACUGUCAGCCUGUUUUAUCAGGGUCUUUCUUAUUCAGCCUGGUAAGCUACAACCUCUGGCUGCAAAAGUCUCUGAAUUAACCUUUCUAAAGCCUUCAGCUUUUGGAUAUUUAGCAGCUUCUCACGAAUGAUAAAACCAAACCUCCCUGGCCUGGCAGUCAGGGUGCUCCUCUAAUCCAAGCUGAAUUAGAUUAACAUCUGGACCAUCCCUACCAUUACUCUAAGUUAUUUAUCCAACAAACAUUUAUUCAUGUCCACUACUAUAUGUGUGACACAUACCUAUUAUGUAUAUUCUGUUCUUAGCACCAAAGCACAGAUAAAGAAAGAAGACAUUUGGAUCUUAUCUUCAAGGACCUCACAACUUAGUAGCUGCAGCUUAGAACAGUCACAAAGCUAAUACUAUAGAUGCACAAAGAAAUGAAUGAUGGCAUCUUACACACACACUAUUUAAUAUUAGUCAUUAAAAUUAUACUAUAGCAUAUUAUUUAUUAGAUUGGAAUAAGAAAAGGUUCCAUUCUAUAGAAAAGGUUCCUAGUCUUUGAUUAACUUAAGCAAAUCAUGUCACAAAAUAAGAUCCCAUUUUUCUUAAAGAGUUUUUCAUAUGUCUGGGUUUGUAUGCAUAGACAAAACCACAUUACAUGCUCAGUUACUACACUAAACAGUAAGUUUUGUGUUAUGUGUAUGCUACCCCCCGACCCCUACACACACACACACACACAGAGCUACUAUGGGAAGUCUUUUGCUCUGAACACCUAAGACAGCAGGAAGGUUUGGUCAUGACACUGGUGUUGCCUGGCAAGUGCCUAAAAUAACUGAAUCCCCAGUGUAUCAACACAACUUCUUUUGAACCAAGUUUUACUGCUUACCUGUAUUAGGCCUGGCAUGAUCUCUGGCAAAAGCAGGUUAAGGGUUUCCUUGGACACUCUCUCGAUCACUUUUGUUUGCAUUUUGAUGGCAGCCAGGUUGAUGGGGUAGUCUGCAGUCUGGAUGAUGGGACACAGCACUUUGAUGCACUGUUCCGGGCUGAUAGAUGUGGCCAACACUGAUGCGGCCUCCUCAGCAGAUCUCACCACCUAGGACAGAAGGCAGUGCUGAGCAGGGAAAUGACUGUAAAAUGUAUGCUAUGUCCUGGAUGUGCACAUUUCAUGAAAUACAUAAUACAACAUG